RNAcentral lists this ribosomal RNA (527 nucleotides) under uncultured Glomus. RNAcentral's name for it is "SSU rRNA". It matches the Rfam family "Eukaryotic small subunit ribosomal RNA", at positions 569 to 1092 of the family's 1831-position model. Lineage: Eukaryota; Fungi; Glomeromycota; Glomeromycetes; Glomerales; Glomeraceae. RNAcentral also lists the same sequence under 1 other name. The record is from RNAcentral.
AGCAGCCGCGGUAAUUCCAGCUCCAAUAGCGUAUAUUAAAGUUGUUGCAGUUAAAAAGCUCGUAGUUGAAUUUCGGGAUUGACACAUCGGUCGUGCCUUAAGGGGUAUGAACUGGUGUAGUCAGUUUCUCACCUUCUGGAGAACCGCGAUGUCCUUAAUUGGGUGCCGCGAGGAACCAGGACCUUUACUUUGAAAAAAUUAGAGUGUUUAAAGCAGGCAUUUUGCUUGAAUACAUUAGCAUGGAAUAAUAAAAUAGGACGGAUGGUUCUAUUUUGUUGGUUUCUAGGAUCACCGUAAUGAUUAAUAGGGAUAGUUGGGGGCAUUAGUAUUCAAUUGUCAGAGGUGAAAUUCUUGGAUUUAUUGAAGACUAACUACUGCGAAAGCAUUUGCCAAGGAUGUUUUCAUUAAUCAAGAACGAAAGUUAGGGGAUCGAAGACGAUCAGAUACCGUCGUAGUCUUAACCAUAAACUAUGCCGACUAGGAAUCAGACGAUGUUAAUUUUUUAAUGACUCGUUUGGCACCUUACG